UGCGUAGGUGGCGUGGCAAGUCAGAUGUGAAAGCCCGGGGCUCAACCUCGGAACUGCAUCCGAUACUGCCAUGCUAGAGUACUGGAGGGGUGACUAGAAUUCUCGGUGUAGCAGUGAAAUGCGUAGAUAUCGAGAGGAAUACCAAAGGCGUAGGCAGGUCACUGGACAGUUACUGACACUGAGGCACGAAGGCCAGGGGAGCGAACGGGAUUAGAUACCCGCGUA
This 225-nucleotide ribosomal RNA is filed under the name uncultured Prosthecobacter sp. RNAcentral describes it as "partial 16S ribosomal RNA". It matches the Rfam family "Bacterial small subunit ribosomal RNA", at positions 568 to 792 of the family's 1533-position model. Lineage: Bacteria; Pseudomonadati; Verrucomicrobiota; Verrucomicrobiia; Verrucomicrobiales; Verrucomicrobiaceae. The record is from RNAcentral.